ACUCUACGCAUUUGAGGUGACAAAUCAAACUGCAUAUUUGUUUACCGUGAUCUACGUAGAGAGAUUAAAACUGUGUCGAUUACCGUGUUAAAUCAACUGAAUAUCAAGUGUGAUCUUAACCCCGUAAGACUCAGACACGU
RNAcentral lists this small nucleolar RNA (140 nucleotides) under Drosophila persimilis. RNAcentral describes it as "snoRNA:GL27892". Lineage: Eukaryota; Metazoa; Arthropoda; Insecta; Diptera; Drosophilidae. The record is from RNAcentral.